UGGCUUUUAUGCAGAAUAAAAGUUGAUUCGGAAUAGUUCAUUUUAACGGCGCGCGCAAACCAAAUCAAUAAUUUUUUGUUCAUAUGAAGUUUGAUCUCCAUAUGUCAAUUAGUAUGUGUUUGGCAGCUGUUUGUUGACGACGUGAAGUUAAAAUUGAACAACGGUUUGCUUGAAAAACAUUCAAUGAAGGUCGUGACGUCAUCGAAGAUUUGCUUCAUACCAGUGGUUCAUCCACUUCUGCUAUAGUCGAUAACAUCGAAAAAAUGUAAGAAAUAGUGCUUAAAAGUCGUUGUGUUGGCACCAGAGGCUUUCAACAUCUCUUAUAGAUCGACUCCAAAAAUUUUGGUUAAUGUUUUGGGUAUGGUGUGCAUUCAAUGACAGACUGGUACGAAAAUACCUGAAUCUUUUGCGAAAACCACGUGGAGAAGAGGCUGAAGACCUUACAUUAUUCAAACACAUCGUUGCUGGUGUCGAGUCUAGUGAGUAGAGGGAAUGACGCGGCAAAAAUUAGCGCAAGCCGAAAAAAAAACAAAAUUCGUUGAAGGCCAUCUCAACCAGGACAUUAAACAAGUGUAUGGAAAAUAAUAGCAGUGUUACUCGCUCGAGAGUCUAUAUUGAAGGCGACAAUAAAGAUUUGUACCUAAAUACGGUUUUUUUGUCAGUCCAGGUGAACUUUAAUCAAAUGAACAAAUGUAAAGCAUGACACAAUUCCGAUUUCUUUGGCGCCGCGAUUUGAAGGUACCUUUGGAAAGAGGAAGUCCUCCUGAUUAAAAAAUAUAUAGGGUUAUAGGUACCGCAAACGCUUAGUUUACGAGAUAUUCGACCUUAAAGUUCAAAAAUUCCCAAAAUUCGAACAUUUCAACAAGCUAUUUUACCACAUUAAACACACUUUACUCACAUUUUUCAUUUCAAAUUAAUUAAAUUAAACUAUAAACUUUUAAAUAAAUCCAUAUUUUACACU
Molecule: long non-coding RNA, 961 nt
Organism: Bactrocera neohumeralis
Lineage: Eukaryota; Metazoa; Arthropoda; Insecta; Diptera; Tephritidae
Exons: 2
Source: RefSeq, a predicted model, not a curated record